RNA transcript from Raphanus sativus (radish), 1728 nucleotides. RefSeq lists it as uncharacterized. NCBI's taxonomy places the organism in Eukaryota, Viridiplantae, Streptophyta, Magnoliopsida, Brassicales, Brassicaceae. The transcript is spliced from 12 exons. The record is from RefSeq and is a predicted model, not a curated record.
CUUGUGGUGCUUAAAGUUUCGAUCUUUGUAAUUUGAUCUCUUGUUUUGAUCGUGUUUCUUUUUUUUUCAGGUUCUUAGUUACGGUAGGAACUGGAAAGUGAUUCUAGAAGCACCACUCUACGAUAAAGACUGUGUUUUGGGCAACGUUUUAGCUGCUCAUUACCUUUCCUCAUCGGAUCAUUCCAAAGCUAAUACCUAUGUUGAAGCUGCAAGAUCCAAUCUUGAACAAUCUACACCGUAUGAGAAAGCUGUUUUUGAGGCUGUUUGUUACUUGAUCUCCGAGGACAGGGAUGAUGACUUGGCUCUUGAAAUGCACACUGAGCUACUUAAAAGAUUCCCCAAGGAUCUGGCUUCUCUGAAGAGAGCUCAGGUUUUGUGCUUCUACAUGGGACAGCCUGCUCCCUUUUUGAGUCUUGUUCAGCAAGUUCUACCUGUGAAUCAAGAAGAAAGUUACAUACACGCUAUGCUUGCGUUCCCAUUGUUAGAACUUGGUCGAAUGGAAGAAGCUGCAGCAGCUUCCAGAAAAGGCUAUGAGAUUAACAAAGAAGACGCAUGGGCACAUCACUGUAGUUGUCAUGUUCUUCAACAUGAAUGUCACUUUAAGGAAGCAGUGGAGUUCAUGGAAGAACUCGCAGAAUCUUGGCGCUCUUGCUCUUCCUUUUUGUAUACACAUAACUGGUGGCAUGUUGCUCUCUGUUAUUUGGAAGGAGGGUCACCAAUGAGUACAGUAGAGGAGAUUUAUGAUAACCACAUCUGGAAAGAGUUGGAGAAAGAUGAUGCUGUUCCUCCCGAAGUUUAUCUCAAUGCUAUCGGUUUGUUAUUGCGUUUGGAUGUAAGAGAUGCUCUUAAAGGUUCGUUUGAAGACCGUCUCAAACUACUUGCAGCUCGAUUGACUGAUCAGGAGAACUGGUAUAUGUCAUGGCACCUUGACAUAUUGAUAGUUUGGGCAUUAGCCAAGGCUGGGGAGACUUCAAGGGCUCAUGAAUUACUCGAGGGUCUGAAGCUCCGACUAUCAAAGAUGAACAAGAAGAAACAACAAGUGAUGCAGAAAGGGAUUCAGCUCGGAGAAGCUGUGUGUGAAUACGGAAGGGGUAACUACAAACAGGCUCUAGAACUGCUUGGUUCAGAUUUUAACGCCUUUGGUUAUAAGACCAUUGGGGCAUCACAUGAACAGAUUGAUGUUUUCAACGGAAUGUGGUGCCUGCUGCUGCUAAAGACAGGCUAAUCCAAGACUGGUAUGGCUUGUUUGUAGUCUUAAAAUCAUUUUCAUUAAACAAUUAGUAUAUAACAAUGAACGCUUUUGGCUCUGAUGUAUGCAAGCCAAAGAAGUGAUAAGAGAAAGGAUCAAUGUCAGAGAUGGUGUUCCUUUCAUGUGGCGUUUACUGGAGAAGAGUUGUGCCAUGGAAGGCAAUGUAGAGGCUGAAAGUGCAGGAGACAGAGUUAAGAAGCUGGAAUCUUCUUAUUUCUAGAUCUGUUUCUUCUUCUUCUUCUUGAUAAUGGCUUAAUAAGGUGUUUACACGUCUCUAAGAUAAAAGAGUAAAAUCCUUUUGGAAUAAGUGUGGUGUACACAGGGGCGAAGCCAGGCAGCCCACUAUGGGGUCCUGUGCACCCAUAAUAUUUAUAAAUAGUUUAGUUUCGUUACAAAUAACAAAGAAAAUCUGUUAGAUCAGAUGGAAAAGUGAAGUUGUGCACCCAGAGGAACCCAGGUUCGACUGCCUCCUUUCUACC